GGGUACAUAGCUCAGUGGUGGAGCAAAUGCUUAGCAUGCACGAGGUCCUGGGUUCAAUCCCCAGUAGCUCCA
RNAcentral lists this transfer RNA (72 nucleotides) under Camelus bactrianus (Bactrian camel). It matches the Rfam family "tRNA". From Rfam's summary of the family: Transfer RNA (tRNA) molecules are approximately 80 nucleotides in length. Their secondary structure includes four short double-helical elements and three loops (D, anti-codon, and T loops). RNAcentral also lists the same sequence under 2 other names. The record is from Rfam by way of RNAcentral. Lineage: Eukaryota; Metazoa; Chordata; Mammalia; Artiodactyla; Camelidae.